AGAUACCCGGGUAGUCCACGCCGUAAACGAUGACAACUAGCUGUUGGGAGACUAUGUCUUUCAGUGGCGCAGCUAACGCUUUAAGUUGUCCGCCUGGGGAGUACGGCCGCAAGGCUAAAACUCAAAUGAAUUGACGGGGACCCGCACAAGCGGUGGAGCAUGUGGUUUAAUUCGAUGCAACGCGAAAAACCUUACCUACUCUUGACAUACUUGGGAGCUCUUGUAAUGAGAGUGUGCCUUAUGGAACCAAGAUACAGGUGGUGCAUGGCCGCCGUCAG
RNAcentral lists this ribosomal RNA (278 nucleotides) under uncultured bacterium. RNAcentral describes it as "partial 16S ribosomal RNA". It matches the Rfam family "Bacterial small subunit ribosomal RNA", at positions 780 to 1058 of the family's 1533-position model. The record is from RNAcentral.